AAAAAAAAAAAACACAAUGAAAAUAACACUGUGCUAUUGUCCUUUUAUCCUGAGAUCUGUUUACAGAGGAUCCUGCAGCAGGACCUGCCUGGAUCAUCACCUCCAUACGCAGUGCUGGGGGGUUAUUUUUAAUGCAGUGUUUUCCAUACACCAGGAAAAAAUAUAUAUAUAUCGAUACAUCCCGUUAUGCAAGCGUUGUUACCAGGCUGCAAAUUAUAUGCUGGGUUAUGAAAUAAAUAAGGCAAAAAUAAAUAAAAAAUAAAAAAAUCACCCAACCCACCCUAUUUCUGAAAAUAGACACAAGGGAGCUCUGACAGCAUCCAUGCCAUCAGCAGUGUGGAUUACAGCAUCCUGCAGCCCUUGUUUUCCAGAUGGAAUUAAGGAUUUUUGCCCAGCUCUGACUUGGAGCAGUUUAUUUUCUUCUUUAUUUCACUGGGGUGUUGAUUGGAGCCCAUAGGUGUGUGCUUUAUUUAAAAAUAUUUAUACAGAAAAAAGCAGAAGGUGUCCGUCUGUCAGGGAGGCUCACGGACAUCAGCAGAGGGCAAAGGGAAUAUCUUCUGAAAUUAAAUAUAUCCCUUAACUCUGUGUAAGGUCAAACUUUCUCUCACAGACUUCAUCUGCUUAACGCGAGUGGCUGCACUCAGUGAUGCUGAGGAGACCUUAUCCCCUUUUUUCGACCCUGUUUUAAGAACAUCACGUAACCUCCACAUUUUGUGGAGGGAGGAAGAAAAGAAAAGAAAAAAAAAAAAAGAAAAGCGAGAGUAAAAAAUGAGCAAACGGAGAAUGUUUUCCUCACAGAAAGGGGAGGGGGAGGCAGGCGGCCGCGCAGCACAGCGCCGCCCGCGGUACUGCAGGGCCCCGCCCGCUGCUCGCUUCACAAAAUGGCGCCCGGCGGGGCCGCGCCGAGCGCUUCUGAGGCGACAAAAUGGCGGCGGGUGGACAGCGAAGGACGGGCCUCAUGGCCCCUCGUUCCCCUCCCCGUCCCGUUUUGAGGUGUUUUUCCUCUCAUAGCGUGAAGAUUUUGGGGGGUUGCAGCCUUCGCUGCCCUCACCGCGUGGAAAAUGCCAAAAAAACAAAACAAAACAAUAC
This is a non-coding RNA of Meleagris gallopavo (turkey), 1089 nucleotides long. The record is from RefSeq and is a predicted model, not a curated record. Lineage: Eukaryota; Metazoa; Chordata; Aves; Galliformes; Phasianidae.